GUGGGGAAUAUUCCGCAAUGGACGAAAGUCUGACGGAGCAACGGCGCGUGAGUGAUGAAGGUUUUCGGACUGUAAAGCUCUGUUGUUUAGGACGAAAGUGCCUGUUGCAAAUAGUUACAGGUAUUGACGGUACUGAACGAGGAAGCCACGGCUAACUACGUGCCAGCAGCCGCGGUAAUACGUAGGUGGCAAGCGUUGUCCGGAAUUAUUGGGCGUAAAGAGCAUGUAGGCGGGAAUCUAAGUCUGUUGUGAAAAUGCGGGGCUCAACCCCGUAUUGCGAUGGAAACUGGGUUUCUUGAGUGCAGGAGAGGAAAGGGGAAUUCCCAGUGUAGCGGUGAAAUGCGUAGAUAUUGGGAGGAACACCAGUGGCGAAGGCGCCUUUCUGGACUGUGUCUGACGCUGAGAUGCGAAAGCCAGGGUAGCGAACGGGAUUAGAUACCCCAGUAGUCC
RNAcentral lists this ribosomal RNA (450 nucleotides) under uncultured bacterium. RNAcentral describes it as "partial 16S ribosomal RNA". It matches the Rfam family "Bacterial small subunit ribosomal RNA", at positions 354 to 796 of the family's 1533-position model. The record is from RNAcentral.